UACGAAGGGGGCUAGCGUUGCUGGGAAUUACUGGGCGUAAAGCGAACGUAGGCGGACUUUUAAGUCGGGGGUGAAAUCCUGGAGCUCAACUCCAGAACUGCCUUCGAAACUGAAAGCCUUGAGUUCGGGAGAGGUGAGUGGAACUGCGAGUGUAGAGGUGAAAUUCGUAGAUAUUCGCAAGAACACCAGUGGCGAAGGCGGCUCACUGGCCCGAUACUGACGCUGAGGUGCGAAAGCGUGGGGAGCAAACAGG
RNAcentral lists this ribosomal RNA (253 nucleotides) under uncultured bacterium. Its description in RNAcentral is "partial 16S ribosomal RNA". It matches the Rfam family "Bacterial small subunit ribosomal RNA", at positions 524 to 776 of the family's 1533-position model. The record is from RNAcentral.